Bos taurus (domestic cattle) is the source of this 72-nucleotide non-coding RNA. Lineage: Eukaryota; Metazoa; Chordata; Mammalia; Artiodactyla; Bovidae. The record is from Rfam.
UCCCUGGUGGUUUAGACGGUAAAGAAUCUGCCUGCAAGGCGGGAGACCCAGGUUUGAUCCCUGGGUAGGGAA